Long non-coding RNA from Xyrauchen texanus (razorback sucker), 276 nucleotides. RefSeq lists it as uncharacterized. The transcript is spliced from 3 exons. Lineage: Eukaryota; Metazoa; Chordata; Actinopteri; Cypriniformes; Catostomidae. The record is from RefSeq and is a predicted model, not a curated record.
AGGAGCACACUCUACAAAGGCCUGACUGGAGAUUUGCCUGAUCUAUCCGUCCUUCAGAUGACAGCGGCUCGCUUCAAGAGCAGGUGAAGCAAGUUGGGACAAUGUUGAAGACAUUUGCUCGCACUGGGCAAUCAGCUUCGGUUUUUGGCAAUCAAAUGUGGGAGGGACCUAAAGACAACCGUGUGGCGAAUGCUUCAGAGUAUCUUCUCUAAUCACCUUUCCAUCAAUACAACCUGGACUGGUGUAGGGGAUAAAGCAUGUUUUAGAGACAUGUUC